CCUACGGGAGGCAGCAGUGAGGAAUAUUGGUCAAUGGACGAGAGUCUGAACCAGCCAAGUAGCGUGAAGGAUGACUGCCCUAUGGGUUGUAAACUUCUUUUAUAUGGGAAUAAUAUGUUCCACGCGUGGGCUUUUGUAUGUACCAUAUGAAUAAGGAUUGGCUAACUUCCUGCCAGCAGCCGCGGUAAUACGGAGGAUUCGAGCGUUAACCGGGUUUAAUGGGUUUAAAGGGGUCGUAGGUGGGUUGUUAAAUUAGUUGUGAAAGUUUGCGGCUCAACCAUAAAAUUGCAGUUGAAACUGGCAGUCUUGAGUACAGGAGAGGUGGGCGGAAUUCGUGGUGUAGCGGUGAAAUGCUUAGAUAUCACGAAGAACUCCGAUUGCGAAGGCAGCUCACUGGAGUGCAACUGACACUGAGGCUCGAAAGUGUGGGUAUCAAACAGGAUUAGAUACCCGGGUAGUC
RNAcentral lists this ribosomal RNA (460 nucleotides) under uncultured bacterium. RNAcentral describes it as "partial 16S ribosomal RNA". It matches the Rfam family "Bacterial small subunit ribosomal RNA", at positions 338 to 795 of the family's 1533-position model. The record is from RNAcentral.